CGUCUACAGGGCUCCUCUGGGGAGUGCUCAAUGGUCUGUGGAUUCAGCCCUUUGUGUGACCCAAAGUGCCUCCAUCCACAGAAAAAGGAAAGUCUCUGCACACAUCCAGCCUCAUGGGAUCGCGUUCAGACCGUACACCAGAGCACCAGGGAGUGCAUUCCUCCUUUCAUUUUGGAGAGAAACUUAGAUCAUCGAUAUUGUUUGCUAAGGCUCCGUCCAGGGAGGGGAAAGAAGCUUUGAAAUGCUCGGCUGAGAUCCUGCAGUGAUGUGAAGGGGGGAACAUGUUCUGCUGUGUUCAGAGGGGAAAAAAUGUAUAUAUA
Molecule: long non-coding RNA, 320 nt
Filed under: Gallus gallus (chicken)
Lineage: Eukaryota; Metazoa; Chordata; Aves; Galliformes; Phasianidae
Description: long non-coding RNA NONGGAT007332
Source: RNAcentral